AGCCUCAUACAUGCAAGUCGAACGAGAAAGCAUCUUCGGAUGUGAGUAAAGUGGCGGACGGGUGAGUAAUACAUAGGAAUCUACCCAAUGGCGGGGGACAGCUCGAGGAAACUCGAAUUAAUACCGCAUAAUCUCUAAGGAGUAAAGAGGGCUUCGGCUCUCACCAUCGGAUGAGCCUAUGCAAGAUUAGCUUGUUGGUAAGGUAAUGGCUUACCAAGGCUACGAUCUUUAGCUGGUUUGAGAGGAUGACCAGCCACAUCGGGACUGAGACACGGCCCGGACUUCUACGGAAGGCAGCAGUAGGGAAUAUUGGACAAUGAGCGAAAGCUUGAUCCAGCUAUGCCGCGUGUGCGAUGACGGCCCUCGGGUUGUAAAGCACUUUAGGUAACGAGGAAAAGUUAGGUGUUAAUACCACUUAACCAUGACGUUAAUUACAGAAUAAGCACCGG
This 449-nucleotide ribosomal RNA is filed under the name uncultured bacterium. RNAcentral's name for it is "bacterial SSU rRNA". It matches the Rfam family "Bacterial small subunit ribosomal RNA", at positions 45 to 496 of the family's 1533-position model. The record is from RNAcentral.